RNAcentral lists this ribosomal RNA (252 nucleotides) under uncultured bacterium. Its description in RNAcentral is "partial 16S ribosomal RNA". It matches the Rfam family "Bacterial small subunit ribosomal RNA", at positions 524 to 776 of the family's 1533-position model. The record is from RNAcentral.
UACGAAGGGGGCUAGCGUUGCUCGGAAUCACUGGGCGUAAAGCGCACGUAGGCGGCUUUCUAAGUCAGGGGUGAAAUCCUGGAGCUCAACUCCAGAACUGCCUUUGAUACUGGGAGCUCGAGUCCGGAAGAGGUGAGUGGAACUCCGAGUGUAGAGGUGAAAUUCGUAGAUAUUCGGAAGAACACCAGUGGCGAAGGCGGCUCACUGGUCCGGUACUGACGCUGAGGUGCGAAAGCGUGGGGAGCAAACAGG